UACAGAGGGUGCAAGCGUUGUUCGGAAUUACUGGGCGUAAAGCGCGUGUAGGCGGCAAUGUAAGUCGAAUGUGAAAUCCCUCAGCUUAACUGAGGAAGUGCAUCCGAUACUGCAUUGCUUGAGUGCCGGAGGGGAUGGCGGAAUUCCCGGUGUAGAGGUGAAAUUCGUAGAUAUCGGGAGGAACACCUGUGGCGAAGGCGGCCAUCUGGACGGUGACUGACGCUGAGACGCGAAAGCGUGGGUAGCAAACAGG
RNAcentral lists this ribosomal RNA (253 nucleotides) under uncultured prokaryote. RNAcentral describes it as "partial 16S ribosomal RNA". It matches the Rfam family "Bacterial small subunit ribosomal RNA", at positions 524 to 776 of the family's 1533-position model. The record is from RNAcentral.